AGAGUUUGAUCCUGGCUCAGGACGAACGCUGGCGGCGUGCUUAACACAUGCAUGUCGAGCGGGGACCGCACUCUUUUGGGUGUGGAGCCGAGCGGCGAACGGGUGAGUAACACGUGAGCAACCUGCCCCUGGCUCUGGGAUAGCCCUGGGAAACCGGGAUUAAUACCGGAUAUGACCGCUGCUCGCAUGGGUGGUGGUGGAAAGGUUCCCCCUUGUGGGGUUCCGGCCGGGGAUGGGCUCGCGGCCUAUCAGCUUGUUGGUGGGGUGAUGGCCUACCAAGGCGACGACGGGUAGCCGGCCUGAGAGGGCGACCGGCCACACUGGGACUGAGACACGGCCCAGACUCCUACGGGAGGCAGCAGUGGGGAAUAUUGCACAAUGGGCGCAAGCCUGAUGCAGCGACGCCGCGUGAGGGAUGAAGGCCUUCGGGUUGUAAACCUCUUUCA
Molecule: ribosomal RNA, 446 nt
Filed under: uncultured bacterium
Lineage: Bacteria
Description: bacterial SSU rRNA
Rfam family: Bacterial small subunit ribosomal RNA
Source: RNAcentral